GAUCAUGGCUCAGGAUGAACGCUAGCUACAGGCUUAACACAUGCAAGUCGAGGGGCAGCGGGAAGUCAGCUUGCUGACUUUGCCGGCGACCGGCGCACGGGUGAGUAACACGUAUCCAACCUUCCCGUUACUCUGGGAUAGCCUUUCGAAAGAAAGAUUAAUACCGGAUAGUAUCGAGAGAUUGCAUGAUAACCCGAUUAAAGAUUCAUCGGUAACGGAUGGGGAUGCGUUCCAUUAGA
This 239-nucleotide ribosomal RNA is filed under the name uncultured bacterium. RNAcentral describes it as "partial 16S ribosomal RNA". It matches the Rfam family "Bacterial small subunit ribosomal RNA", at positions 15 to 245 of the family's 1533-position model. The record is from RNAcentral.